UUUUUUAGUUCUUUGAUAUGUCCACCGAGGAAGUGGGAGCAUCUUUGAUCUGUCUAUACCGUAAGUGGACAGUGUGUCCCACCCUGUGCCUUUACUAUCAUACUAUGUGAUGGUCACCUCCUGGUGUUACCUCGACACAUUGGUUAAACUACCAUUCUUGUGAUUUUCCAAUUCUAUGUUGAAGGAAUGAACCUGUAGCCUUUAAUGACUUCAAUGUAUGAUCAUGAUGAUAAUUAUAUGAUAUCUACUUUGGUAGCUCUUAAGCGACACAUACUUUUUCUUGCUCCAAGUUCCUAAUCUGGGAAUUUUAUAGCCUUUUGGUUCUGAUCUGGGAAUUUUAUUUGGUGACGCUAUCUCUUACAUUUCAUAUGUUUAAUUGUAUUUUCUGAUUCGGAUAUAUUAUGUUGUUAUUUUUAAGCAAGUAAAUUCAUCAGCUGGAGAAGCCUAACUAUGCUAAAGUGCAACACCUGUAAUUCUCAACUUUACUGGAUAAAUAUUUUAUACAUGAAACAUAUGGAUAGUUUACAAAUGAUGAUUUGGAACAUUGCCCCCGACAAUACGUGCAGUAUUCAAUCAACACCAAUUACAAGAUGCUGCUACUCCUGGUUGUGCUAGAUCUUUGCACUAUUUGCUUGCUGUUGUACCAUGGUAACUAUAUGUUAUUAGUAUUGUUGAUGUGGGCCAUGAUCUUGAAUGGUCUAGUAGUAGAACAACAUUAGGUUAAUUUGUAGCAGUGGGGUCUCUUCUUUCUAUGCCACAAUACGAUUAUAAUUGGAAUGGUAGCCACUUAACAUGUUAGAAUGUACUAAUUGUUUCCAAAUUCGUAUAGUCUGUGUUCAUUGAUUAAAACUACUUCUCGAAUGUUAGUUUCCAAUUUCGCAUGCCAUUUCACAUGAUUUGUUCAACUAUUCCUAUUAUGUUAAUUGUUAUCCUGGGAUCUAUGCCUUGCACCGCACUAACAAUUCCUCCUCUCUUUGAAUGAAUUGCAGGACAAGGCUCUCUAUGUUUCCAAGGACGAGAAGCUUGAGUACACCAACAAGAUCGAUGCCUACAACAACCCAUAGGUAUAACAUUCACACCAAACACCACCAUAAAAAAGUAGCCCUGCGAUAUUAACGCAACACAGUGGUACUGAUCCGUGCUCUUUCGUGCCCAUCCUUCUUUCAGGCAGGAGAGGCAUGUGGCGACUUAACCAGUAUAAGUCCGAGGUGAACGACAAGUACGACGGCAGCAAGGUAAGACCAUCCUGAUCCACUCGCUCGCUUUCUCCGUGUCAUUCCCCUCUUACUACUCAACAUGUUGAUCUGUUUUCUGAACAUAUGAAAAUUUGUUGUGUGUAGGGUGACUAGUGAUGCGGCAAGCCAAGCAGCAGCAGGGGGAGGAGGGGGUUCUCUGGAACGCCGCUGUGGUCUCUUAUUGCUAGUGUCCUCGAUUGAUGAUGGAUGGUCGUUUAUUUUAGCUCCUUGGUAGUCUUGCCCUCUCUUUCAGGUGGCUGGUCGCUGCUUGUUGCUGGUAGAAAUGGAAGCUCUAGUUCCAGGUCGUCAUAGUCCCAUGUAGUUCAUGCUUUGGACGAAAAUUUAGUGUUGUUUUG
RNAcentral lists this long non-coding RNA (1591 nucleotides) under Hordeum vulgare. Its description in RNAcentral is "long non-coding RNA (HVUL_LNC003310)". The record is from RNAcentral. Lineage: Eukaryota; Viridiplantae; Streptophyta; Magnoliopsida; Poales; Poaceae.